This 82-nucleotide transfer RNA is filed under the name Hirsutella minnesotensis 3608. It matches the Rfam family "tRNA". Rfam says of the family: Transfer RNA (tRNA) molecules are approximately 80 nucleotides in length. Their secondary structure includes four short double-helical elements and three loops (D, anti-codon, and T loops). Lineage: Eukaryota; Fungi; Ascomycota; Sordariomycetes; Hypocreales; Ophiocordycipitaceae. The record is from Rfam by way of RNAcentral.
GCCCCGAUGGCUUAGUGGUACAGCGUGUCACUAGUAUUCACUUGCUAUGACAAGAUCGUCAGUUCGAUUCUGGCUCGGGGCA